Molecule: unclassified non-coding RNA, 345 nt
Filed under: soil metagenome
Description: partial contains 5.8S ribosomal RNA, internal transcribed spacer 2, and large subunit ribosomal RNA
Rfam family: 5.8S ribosomal RNA (bases 1-121)
Source: RNAcentral
GAUGAAGAACGCAGCGAAAUGCGAUAAGUAAUGCGAAUUGCAGAAUUUCCGUGAGUCAUCGAAUCUUUGAACGCACAUUGCGCCCACUGGUAUUCCGGUGGGCAUGCCUGUUCGAGCGUCAUUAUCCUCCCUCAAACCCCGGGUUUGGUGUUGGACACAAGUUGUGUGAACAACUGGUCUCAGAGACAAUGACGGCGUCCGUGGGACCCUCGGUGCAACGAGCUUUUAGGAGCACGCAUCGAGUUGCAAGGACCUUCCGGGCCGGUCUCCUUUACCAUUUUACAAGGUUGACCUCGGAUCAGGUAGGAAUACCCGCUGAACUUAAGCAUAUCAAUAAGCGGAGGA